AUUCAAAGGGUAUUAUGGUCAAAAAGGGGUCUUAGUGUCCAUUUUUUGAAAAAUCAAAUGUUUUUGUAACCGUUUCCCCAAACUUUGGGGGUGUAUGUAUCCUUUUCGUUAAGUUUUAUUAUCUUAGAUACAAUUUGGGUAGAUUCCCAUUAUCAUAAGCACACUGUUGUCACUGUCACAAGAGUUGUAUUGCUGUAAGGAUAACCUCUCACUUCAUAAUGUUAGGAAAUACGUUUCCUUUUUUAAUGAGAAUCUGUAAAUCUUAAAUUAGGAUAUUUCUUAGGUUUUUCUUAUAUAGUAGUUUUCUUAUUUAGUAGAAUUUCUAUUUAAGAAAUAAGUAAUUUUUCAUUUGUGACUUAACUUAUUCUAGGAGGAAACAACUAGUAUAAGAAAAUGAAUAUUUCUCUUACAAGAAAACUACAUAUAGGAGAUUGGAUUCACUUAUUUAUACAAUAUAACAAAAUAAUCAAUGUCUCUGCAAGUAGAUAGUUUCUAAUGUGAGAGAAACGAUGGAUCUAUUGAGAGAUUGAGUGUUAUUGGGGUUUUAGUAUCAGAAAAAUACUAGAGCAAUUGUAAUAAUUUUUUAUAUAGUAGAUUUUUUCUCUUAUCGUCCUUGGCAGCCAUUAU
Molecule: long non-coding RNA, 627 nt
Filed under: Citrus x clementina
Lineage: Eukaryota; Viridiplantae; Streptophyta; Magnoliopsida; Sapindales; Rutaceae
Description: Citrus clementina (C. clementina) long non-coding RNA (CCLE_LNC001878)
Source: RNAcentral